GGCCGGCAGCGAGCGCGGGGUUCGGCCGCUCCACGUUCGGCGGUGCCGUGGCUCGGAGGCGCUUUGGAGGCGUUGAUGGCAUCGCUGGGUUCGGUUUGCAGCGGGUGUCCGCUAAGGGAUACGGUGUUCUUCCUGAGCGGCACGGUUCUCGGUGCCGGUAGGGAUGAUAAAGGGUACUGAGAAAAUACGUCUCCCUUAGAGUCCCACGGAAAGGUUCUCAGUGCGCUCUCUAUCAAGUGCUAUGAGUCUUGAUAAAUUGGAGAAGAGCCCAAGAGAAAUUUUUCAUCCCUUGAUAUAAAAGGGAUCGGUGAAUUUUAACUUUGGAGUCCCCUAUGCUAAGGAUGCUCAGCUUACAGGUGAUGAAAUGUUCAGUAAUGUAUUUGCUGCAGCUCUGCUUACCCAAGCUUUGGGUUCCUUCUGUCCCACUGGGAGUUGCCCAAUUUGGUUGCAUCUGGUGAAAUUCACCCUGAGACCUUACAGAAGCAGCUCCAACUACGUGAGAGCCAUUUGCAGUUCUCUCCAGACGCCUGGAGAAUGGGUGACGUUUCUGAGGAUCCGGCGAGCGUGCUUCUGUCAAAACUCAGUCUGUGAAAUUCCUGGGGAAAACCCUUCUGUGUCCUGAGGGGUUCAAACUCUGGUGAGGAUCCAGUUAUCAGGUGCUCACCUGGAUGGUUCCGGCUCCCAAAGGUAACACUUGUACUCUUGCCCUGUAGUUUACAUCUAUUGUAUUUUUGUUAUUUUGCAAGAUUUUUUGUCUUUGCAAAAUAUUGUGCAUUUCACUCUUUGGAACCUCUCAGAUGGUUCUUUGGUGCAGCACCACCCCAGGGGACACUUGGCUGCUGUCCUGAAGGGGUUGGUGGCUAGAAUUGUAAAUCCUGGAGAGUUUGUGAGUCUUCUGUCCCCAGGGAGGUGUCGUGCUUUGUUUACUUUUGUUCUGUUGGUUAGGCGCUGCUUCUCGUUGCAAGUAUGAAUUUCAAACUGCCCUGUUCUUAUUUUAGCUGUUUUCCUGGUUCUCUCCCUACGGCAGGGAAAGACUCUCGUGUCCUUGUCGUCGGGCUCAGUGCUGUCCAAGAAGAUACGGGGACUAAAAAAAUCAUAAGAAGCAAAAUAGGACUGCAGGGAAAAGAAGCUGGAGAGAACAGAAGACUCAUCACGGCGGGACAGCGUGAAGACUGAAAGUGUAAGAAGAUGUGGAGGGAAAGAGAGAAUCUGACAGGAGCAUCGGACGGACGAGUGCACGAAUUUUGCUUUUUUGCUUGGAUGUAAACUCAGGCGUUGAAAGGAAUUUGGGAGUGAGAAGGGACAUUUCAGAAGGAGAAGAAGCAAAAGAAGUUGUUGUUGUUGUUACAGUCCUGGCAAAAUCUUUUGUUCUAGCUAAUAAAAGAAGUUAGU
Melospiza melodia melodia is the source of this 1392-nucleotide long non-coding RNA. RefSeq lists it as uncharacterized. The transcript is spliced from 6 exons. Lineage: Eukaryota; Metazoa; Chordata; Aves; Passeriformes; Passerellidae. The record is from RefSeq and is a predicted model, not a curated record.